CUAUGGAGACAGGCUGAGAGAGUUGGGCUUGUUCAGCCUGGAGAAGGCUCAGGGGAGACCUUAGAGAAGCUUCCAGUGCAUAAAGGGGCCGGCAAGAAAGCUGGAGAGGAGCUUUUGUCAAGGGCAGGUAGGGGUAAGACAAGGGGGAAUGGCUUUAAACUGACAGAGGGGAGAUUUAGAUUAGAUAUUAGGAAGAAGUUCUUCCCUGUCAGGGUAGUAAGGCACUGAAAGAGGUUGCCCAG
Molecule: long non-coding RNA, 242 nt
Organism: Strigops habroptila (Kakapo)
Lineage: Eukaryota; Metazoa; Chordata; Aves; Psittaciformes; Psittacidae
Exons: 2
Source: RefSeq, a predicted model, not a curated record